Molecule: ribosomal RNA, 233 nt
Filed under: uncultured bacterium
Lineage: Bacteria
Description: partial 16S ribosomal RNA
Rfam family: Bacterial small subunit ribosomal RNA
Source: RNAcentral
UGAGGAACAUGACCUUCGGCGGGGGAGUAGCCGGCCCAACGGCCGGGUAAUACCGCGUACGACCACUCGGGGACAUCCCCAGGUGGUGAAAGCAGCAAUGCGCCGAUGGAGUGCCUCGCGGCCUAUCAGCUAGUUGGUGAGGUAACGGCUCACCAAGGCUACGACGGAUAGCUGGUCUGAGAGGAUGUCCAGCCACACUGGGACUGAGACACGGCCCAGACUCCGUAGGGAGG